This 122-nucleotide small nucleolar RNA is filed under the name Dasypus novemcinctus (nine-banded armadillo). Its description in RNAcentral is "Small nucleolar RNA SNORA28 (ENSDNOG00000029289.1)". It matches the Rfam family "Small nucleolar RNA SNORA28". From Rfam's summary of the family: ACA28 is a member of the H/ACA class of snoRNA that guide the sites of modification of uridines to pseudouridines. The record is from RNAcentral. Lineage: Eukaryota; Metazoa; Chordata; Mammalia; Cingulata; Dasypodidae.
AAGCAACUCUGUGUCAGAUGAUCAAAACUCUGGCACAAUUUCUGCUUGCUAUAGCAAGAAAGUCUAACCUAUUCCCAUGUUCACUGUUCCGUGAGACAAGCCGUUAUAAAGGCUUAAACAGA